Molecule: ribosomal RNA, 253 nt
Filed under: uncultured bacterium
Lineage: Bacteria
Description: partial 16S ribosomal RNA
Rfam family: Bacterial small subunit ribosomal RNA
Source: RNAcentral
CACGUAGGGGGCAAGCGUUGUCCGGAAUUAUUGGGCGUAAAGAGCUCGUAGGCGGCUCGGUAAGUCAGGUGUCAAAUCCUCAGGCUCAACCUGGGGCUCCACCUGAUACUGCUGUGGCUAGAGUCCGGUAGGGGAGCGUGGAAUUCCUGGUGUAGCGGUGAAAUGCGUAGAGAUCCGGAGGAACACCAGUGGCGAAGGCGGCCGCCUGGACCUGACCUGACGCUGAGGCGCGAAGGCGUGGGGAGCGAACGGG